Molecule: unclassified non-coding RNA, 329 nt
Filed under: soil metagenome
Description: partial contains 5.8S ribosomal RNA, internal transcribed spacer 2, and large subunit ribosomal RNA
Rfam family: 5.8S ribosomal RNA (bases 1-120)
Source: RNAcentral
GAUGAAGAACGUAGCGAAAUGCGAUAAGUAAUGUGAAUUGCAGAAUUCAGUGAAUCAUCGAAUCUUUGAACGCACAUUGCGCCCCCUGGCAUUCCGGGGGGCAUGCCUGUUCGAGCGUCAUUACAACCCUCAAGCUCUGCUUGGUAUUGGGCUCUGCUGGGACCGGCAGGCCUUAAAAUCAGUGGCGGCGCCACUCGGCUUCAAGCGUAGUAAUUCUUCUCGCUAUGGAGUCCUGGUGGAUGCUUGCCAUCAACCCCCAAUUUUUCUAUGGUUGACCUCGGAUCAGGUAGGGAUACCCGCUGAACUUAAGCAUAUCAAUAAGCGGAGGA